AGUUGUUUAAAGAACACCACAAAAGCUAUUAAAACUUUGACAGAUGUUCUGGUGAAAUGUGAAACUGCUUUUUUUACAUUCAGGAAUAACGUUAUUUCAUAAUUGUGAUAAUUCUAUGAUCAGAAAACUUGAAAAAUUAACUUUGAUGGAUUUUUUUUUUUUUUUCCUAGAAUGCUUUUUUCAUAAGAGAACUACACGAGUUCUGGAAGCAUGAAGAUUUGGCAAGAAAUUAAAUCAUUCGGAAAGUGGAAUUUUAAUCCUUAUAGGAGUUCUACUUAAAGUGUCAUCUCACAAAUGUGUUUUCAUCUUGGGAAUGGUCAUGUUGGCUGUCUGCUCCCUUGACAAUAAUAAUUGGAACUAGGAUUUCCAUCACAUAUGUUUCAGUGUCAUGUUCCUUCAGUUAAGGAAACUUUGAAGUGCUAGAAAUUACAUGAAUUCAUGUAGCCAUGUAGUCCAUUUUCCUACAAAAGUAGAAGAAUCAGACUGAAUAUAACUGAGUGAUUGCCGAAUCUGUCUUGAAAGUUGGAUGGCCAGCAUGAGUUUCCACUGCAGCUUUUUUGCAUGGCCGUGCAGGAAAAAAUGCGUCAUUGUCCUUUCCUCCCUCACCCCCCAGUUACGGAUCGCUCAUGCUGAUAUGCAAACCGUGUCCCCAGGUCUCUCCCCAGCCUCCCUCACAGUGACUCAGCUGCAGCUCUUCACCCCACUGUGGUGUCCACCCGAGCCCUUCUGUGCCGGUUCCGUGCGAUGCUGGGGCCAGCACGGCGGCAGCUGCUGCUCCGAGGUACCGCCACACUGCUGGCCGCACCUGAACCCCAGAGCCCAGUAAAGUGUCUGCAAGUUUGUUAAUAAACUGUCUUUAUUCCUUUAAGUCUUAAGCCUG
This 880-nucleotide long non-coding RNA is filed under the name Cyanistes caeruleus (blue tit). RNAcentral describes it as "lncRNA (ENSCCEG00000005400.1)". The record is from RNAcentral. Lineage: Eukaryota; Metazoa; Chordata; Aves; Passeriformes; Paridae.